AUUGAACGCUGGCGGCAUGCCUUACGCAUGCAAGUCGAACGGUAACAGGCCGCAAGGUGCUGACGAGUGGUGAACGGGUGAGUAAUACAUCGGAACGUGCCCGAUCGUGGGGGAUAACGCAGCGAAAGCUGUGCUAAUACCGCAUACGAUCUACGGAUGAAAGCGGGGGAUCGCAAGACCUCGCGCGGACGGAGCGGCCGAUGGCAGAUUAGGUAGUUGGUGGGGUAAAGGCCUACCAAGCCGACGAUCUGUAGCUGGUCUGAGAGGACGACCAGCCACACUGGGACUGAGACACGGCCCAGACUCCUACGGGAGGCAGCAGUGGGGAAUUUUGGACAAUGGGCGCAAGCCUGAUCCAGCCAUGCCGCGUGCAGGAUGAAGGCCUUCGGGUUGUAAACUGCUUUUGUACGGAACGAAAAGGUUUCUUUUAAUACAGGGAACUGAUGACGGUACCGUAAGAAUAAGCACCGGCUAACUACGUGCCAGCCGCCGCCGUAA
This 498-nucleotide ribosomal RNA is filed under the name uncultured bacterium. Its description in RNAcentral is "partial 16S ribosomal RNA". It matches the Rfam family "Bacterial small subunit ribosomal RNA", at positions 30 to 523 of the family's 1533-position model. The record is from RNAcentral.